Dendronephthya gigantea is the source of this 229-nucleotide long non-coding RNA. RefSeq lists it as uncharacterized. The record is from RefSeq and is a predicted model, not a curated record. The transcript is spliced from 3 exons. NCBI's taxonomy places the organism in Eukaryota, Metazoa, Cnidaria, Anthozoa, Malacalcyonacea, Nephtheidae.
GCACCAACACUGUGGUUCAUAAAUUGUACAUGUGACAUGGGGUAUGAGGGCAAUGGUAUCAACUGUACAGAAAUCAAUGCAUGUCAAACAAAUCCUUGUGAUGUAAAUGCAAAUUGUACCAAUAUCGAUGGUUCGUACAAUUGUACUUGUCACAUGGGCUAUGAAGGCAAUGGUUAUAACUGUACAGAUAUAAAUGAAUGUCAAACAAAUCCUUGUGAUGUAAAUGCAA